AAAAAAAAUCUGAAAUAUUCUUCUCUAGUUUCUUCUUCUCUUCUGAAAUUUUGAAUUGAAUCUGUCUUUUGUGAUGUCAUUCUUGCAGUGAGGAAGCAAGGUAGCAAGAGUUACAAUUGACAGCUAGCAGACACUGGAAUGAACCUGGCUGACAGAAGGUUGCAAUCUCAGGAUUCGGUUGAGCACCAGUUUUUCUCAGCCACAGGCAUACAUCAAUGACAGAUAAAAUAACCUAAACAAUUUUUGCCACAGAAG
This 255-nucleotide long non-coding RNA is filed under the name Oryza sativa (Asian cultivated rice). RNAcentral's name for it is "long non-coding RNA (OSAT_LNC000035)". Lineage: Eukaryota; Viridiplantae; Streptophyta; Magnoliopsida; Poales; Poaceae. The record is from RNAcentral.